GUUUGCCUCAAAGUUUAGACCCAUACCCGAAACCGUACCGAACUCGAGCGUUAUUGUCUAGACAGCUACAAAUACUAGUACUUCACUGGGAACCAUAGCUAAUGCGCUGUA
Molecule: ribosomal RNA, 111 nt
Filed under: Phaeophyceae sp.
Lineage: Eukaryota; Phaeophyceae
Source: RNAcentral